RNAcentral lists this ribosomal RNA (1545 nucleotides) under Salmonella enterica subsp. enterica serovar Typhimurium. Its description in RNAcentral is "partial 23S ribosomal RNA". It matches the Rfam family "Bacterial large subunit ribosomal RNA", at positions 137 to 1637 of the family's 2925-position model. Lineage: Bacteria; Pseudomonadati; Pseudomonadota; Gammaproteobacteria; Enterobacterales; Enterobacteriaceae. The record is from RNAcentral.
GAUUCGUCACACUAUCAUUAACUGAAUCCAUAGGUUAAUGAGGCGAACCGGGGGAACUGAAACAUCUAAGUACCCCGAGGAAAAGAAAUCAACCGAGAUUCCCCCAGUAGCGGCGAGCGAACGGGGAGGAGCCCAGAGCCUGAAUCAGCAUGUGUGUUAGUGGAAGCGUCUGGAAAGGCGCGCGAUACAGGGUGACAGCCCCGUACACAAAAGCGCAUGUGCUGUGAGCUCGAUGAGUAGGGCGGGACACGUGGUAUCCUGUCUGAAUAUGGGGGGACCAUCCUCCAAGGCUAAAUACUCCUGACUGACCGAUAGUGAACCAGUACCGUGAGGGAAAGGCGAAAAGAACCCCGGCGAGGGGAGUGAAAAAGAACCUGAAACCGUGUACGUACAAGCAGUGGGAGCACCCUUCGGGGUGUGACUGCGUACCUUUUGUAUAAUGGGUCAGCGACUUAUAUUCUGUAGCAAGGUUAACCGUAUAGGGGAGCCGGAGGGAAACCGAGUCUUAAUUGGGCGUUAAGUUGCAGGGUAUAGACCCGAAACCCGGUGAUCUAGCCAUGGGCAGGUUGAAGGUUGGGUAACACUAACUGGAGGACCGAACCGACUAAUGUUGAAAAAUUAGCGGAUGACCUGUGGCUGGGGGUGAAAGGCCAAUCAAACCGGGAGAUAGCUGGUUCUCCCCGAAAGCUAUUUAGGUAGCGCCUCGUGAAUUCAUCUCCGGGGGUAGAGCACUGUUUCGGCUAGGGGGCCAUCCCGGCUUACCAACCCGAUGCAAACUGCGAAUACCGGAGAAUGUUAUCACGGGAGACACACGGCGGGUGCUAACGUCCGUCGUGAAGAGGGAAACAACCCAGACCGCCAGCUAAGGUCCCAAAGUCAUGGUUAAGUGGGAAACGAUGUGGGAAGGCCCAGACAGCCAGGAUGUUGGCUUAGAAGCAGCCAUCAUUUAAAGAAAGCGUAAUAGCUCACUGGUCGAGUCGGCCUGCGCGGAAGAUGUAACGGGGCUAAACCAUGCACCGAAGCUGCGGCAGCGAACGUAUCACCCAAGACAACUUUACGGAGUUGACGAUUGACGGAGCGAAGCGACGUCAAAGCGUUCAUUAAAGUCGAGUUGGCUUAGGGAUACGUUCGUUGGGUAGGGGAGCGUUCUGUAAGCCUGUGAAGGUGUGUCGUGAGGCAUGCUGGAGGUAUCAGAAGUGCGAAUGCUGACAUAAGUAACGAUAAAGCGGGUGAAAAGCCCGCUCGCCGGAAGACCAAGGGUUCCUGUCCAACGUUAAUCGGGGCAGGGUGAGUCGACCCCUAAGGCGAGGCCGAAAGGCGUAGUCGAUGGGAAACGGGUUAAUAUUCCCGUACUUGGUGUUACUGCGAAGGGGGGACGGAGAAGGCUAUGUUGGCCGGGCGACGGUUGUCCCGGUUUAAGCGUGUAGGUGUGUGUUCCAGGUAAAUCCGGUUCACUUUAACACUGAGGCGUGACGACGAGGCACUACGGUGCUGAAGCAACAAAUGCCCUGCUUCCAGGAAAAGCCUCUAAGCAUCAGGUAACAU